AUGCUCUACGUCCUCCACAAGCUGGACGACGUCGAGCUCAUGUUCGGUGGCCCGGCCAGGGUGUGCCGCUCCUGGCACGACGCCGUGUGCGAGCCCGAGCUGUGGCGCCGGAUCGACAUGCGCGGCCGCUCCCUGUGCUUCCGAGAGACGGUCAGCCUCAAAAAUAUGGCGCAGCUCUCCAUUUGGUUCAGCGCCGGGCAGUGCCGAGAGUUCUUCGGCCAGCACGACGUCGACAACGACCUCCUCCUCUUCCUGGCCGACCGGGCACCCUUAUUGAAGAGUCUUCAUCUUAUCAAGCAUUGUGAUGUGACCAGUGAAACAUUUGCAAAGGCAAUAAUGAAAUUCCCUCUGUUGGAGGAGCUCAAGCUUUGGGAGUGUGAGACACAUGACACCGGGGUCUUUGACCUUGUUGCCAUGGCUUGUCCACAACUGAAGCACUUAAAACAUGUCAAAGAUAGAGGAUAUUCACGAUAUAUAUGGCUUGAAUACCCUACCGAUAACAGCGAAGCCUUGGCAAUUGCGAAGAUGCAUGAGCUACGCUCCUUGAAGCUUUUCCACGGCGGCCUCGACAACCAAGGAUUGACAGCCAUCCUUGAUGGUUGCCCUCAUCUGGAGUACCUUGACAUACGGUAUUGCAACAACAUCAUCAUGGAUAGGAGCAUGCGAGCAAAGUGCGCCCAUGUUAAGAAGAAGAAACUGUAUCCAUCUGCGCCAAUGGAUAAUUGGGUGUGUCCUUGGUCUGACAUCCAUGAUGACUUCACCAUUGAUUCUGAUUAUUUCGAGCCUAGCAUCACUGUUUGUAGUUGCUAUCGUCCAUGGGAUAGGGAUAGGCAUUGGUGCUAUUGCAACCAUGAUGAUGAGCCAGAUUGUCGUUUUUCAAUGUGGAGCCUUAUGACUCUAAGGACUCUGAUCAUUCUCGCUUCUUUAGUGGUGCCGAGGAGAACGAGUUUGAGUAUUGGAGAACCUAAGGAACAUUUGAAUGUUUUGAUGGAAGCGCCCGACCUGGCCAGAUGUUGCACUCACUGA
RNAcentral lists this ribosomal RNA (1026 nucleotides) under Triticum aestivum (bread wheat). Its description in RNAcentral is "partial small subunit ribosomal RNA". Lineage: Eukaryota; Viridiplantae; Streptophyta; Magnoliopsida; Poales; Poaceae. The record is from RNAcentral.